GACGAACGCUGGCGGCGUGCUUAACACAUGCAAGUCGAACGGAAAGGCCCUGCUUUUGUGGGGUGCUCGAGUGGCGAACGGGUGAGUAACACGUGAGUAACCUGCCCUUGACUUUGGGAUAACUUCAGGAAACUGGGGCUAAUACCGGAUAGGAGCUCCUGCUGCAUGGUGGUGGUUGGAAAGUUUCGGCGGUUGGGGGUGGACUCGCGGCUUAUCAGCUUGUUGGUGGGGUAGUGGCUUACCAAGGCUUUGACGGGUAGCCGGCCUGAGAGGGUGACCGGCCACAUUGGGACUGAGAUACGGCCCAGACUCCUACGGGAGGCAGCAGUGGGGAAUAUUGCACAAUGGGCGGAAGCCUGAUGCAGCAACGCCGCGUGCGGGAUGACGGCCUUCGGGUUGUAAACCGCUUUCGCCUGUGACGAAGCGUGAGUGACGGUAAUGGGUAAAGAAGCACCGGCUAACUACGUG
Molecule: ribosomal RNA, 468 nt
Filed under: uncultured bacterium
Lineage: Bacteria
Description: partial 16S ribosomal RNA
Rfam family: Bacterial small subunit ribosomal RNA
Source: RNAcentral